UACAGAGGGUGCAAACGUUGUUCGGAAUUACUGGGCGUAAAGCGCGUGUAGGCGGCCAUCUAAGUCGGGCGUGAAAUCCCACGGCUCAACCGUGGAAGUGCACUCGAAACUGGAUGGCUAGAGUCCUGGAGAGGAAGGUGGAAUGCUUGGUGUAGAGGUGAAAUUCGUAGAUAUCAAGCGGAACACCGGUGGCGAAGGCGGCUCACUGGCUCGUAACUGACGCUCAGGCGCGACAGCGUGGGGAGUCAAACAGG
Molecule: ribosomal RNA, 254 nt
Filed under: uncultured bacterium
Lineage: Bacteria
Description: partial 16S ribosomal RNA
Rfam family: Bacterial small subunit ribosomal RNA
Source: RNAcentral